GUGCGCCCCAUCCCCACACCAUUCCGGGCGCGAUCACCGCUGAAACCGAAUAUGGACACAUCCAGUACGCCCCUCUCCGCUUCUGCCGCUGCCUCGAGCCUUGUGUCCUCGCCAUUCGUGCCCUGCAUCGAGGACUCGGCGCAUACGCGGAGAGUCGGACGCCACCCCGUGCUGUUCCAGCGCACCCUCGACGCCGUCAGCUACCGCUACCUCACUGCAUCCUCUCGACUGGCCUGCACGGUUGCGUCCAGCAGCAGCGACAAAAAAGUGAGCUCUGUAGCGUUGCACGCAACGGCCACCGCCAACGCUGAACACGCAGCCUACGUGACGACGCUCACGGAAAACUAUCAAAAGCUGUGGCAGCAACGCAGGUUGGUGCCAAAGGCGGCACGACGAGAGUGGUUUGAAACGGUGGUGGUGCAUCUCAAGGCACUGAAUGCAUUGGGGGCUACUCUUGCCUGGCUGACGGACGCGCCCGCGACCGUCACGUCUGCCGCGCUCUCCGACCAUUAUGGCGAGAGAAAGCAGCAAAAAUCGAGGAAGCCUGCCCACGACCCACUCCCGCUGUGGUGCCUCUGGCAGGACGCUCAGCGUCACCUGCACCACAUGUCACUGCGUCUGCGUCCGCGGACCCCGGCCGCCGGUGUCGCGUACGGGACGCGUGAGGCGAUGCGGAUGUCUGACCUGGUGCGCAUGGACAGCUCCGCCUUCGCCUGGCGGGUGCGCCAGUGGUGUCGCAUAGCAGCGCUUUUCCACAGCCCCCGUUGCGCAGAUACGGAGGCAGCAUCAUCACUGGUAGACGUUGCUGAGGCGGUUCAUCCCGGCAUGAUCGCAGAUGUGGUAUGCCGUGUGGGUCCCGGCGGCAGCAGCUCAAUGUCAGCCGCGUUGCCGUUUCCAGACUCGUUUUCGGCGGAAGAGCCGGAGGUGGCGCAUAUGCUGCUCCUCUGCCUCGGCGCCACAUCCGAGACCGCUGCCGAGAACUGUCUGGCCCGCCAGUACGUGGCCGGGGCUUUGGUGUACCGCAUGUUGCUUGAGGUGACGCUAGGCCGCCUUCGUGCGCUGCCGCGGUGCAUCUUCACGUGGCGUCUCUUGCGGGAUGUUGUCCGUGACCAUCUCGUAACGUCGGCGGCUGGUUUCCUUGAUACCGACAACGAGCAAAGGGCAGUGCUGCUGGAGAUGGCAGCCUAUGUGGAGGUGGUGGUCAUCCCGUACCUCCAGCACCGUGACUGCCACCUGGAAAGUCUGCGGCACACUGCAGCGCAGGUGCAUGCUCAGUUCACGCGUCUCGCCUCUGCCAAACUCGAGCAGCUCCGCGCAGCCGUCGCGCGUGCCGGUGCGGGGGACGGCGACCAGACGGAAACUGUCGCGCAGUCAAAAACAGGGACAGCAGACGCGGUAGUGGGUGACCUGACUGCGGCAACAGUCCCGGCGGCUGAGGCUAGCGCGGAGGUCAACAAGGAGGAGCAGGGACGCCUCCCUGAAGCGCAGCGCCACCGCAUGGCAGCAUCGAUGGAGCCCCUCCUCCGUAGCGCGUGUGCGGGCGGUGCCCCGGCGUUCGCGAAAACGACAGCGCAGCCGCUUUCCGUCUCUCACACAGAAAGCAAGUCGGCGGUGCAGGGCGCGAAGGACGUCAUUGCCAGUAUUAUUCUCGGAAACACGGCCACCUCUGACAGAGCUGAGCGUGAUGAGACUGGUGGUGGACACCAGGGCGACGCGCCCACGGCGCCGUCGGGGUCGUGGGAGGACGCGCUGUUAUCGAUGCAGCAUGACUUUCAUGGAAAGCGCGUGGAUGAUAGUGUCCUGCACUCCUCCGCGGCGCGGAUUUCUCAGCUGCGGUUCUUCCUGUACCACUACUUCACCCAGAGUCCGACGCUGGCUUUCGAUCGCGUCUCCGACACCGCCGCUGCCCCCGCACACGCGGAAGCCGCAAAGGAAGGAGAGGCUUAAUGAAAGAGGGGGUAUCGCCCCCCUCCCCCCCCCUUCAUGGAGAGGGAAGAGAGACGCGCUCGUGCACGCGGCAAGAGCUGCGUCGGUGUGUUCACAGAACCGCGUGGUUGUGAGCAUCCCCCUGAGUGGGAGAUAAACAGC
Molecule: unclassified non-coding RNA, 2088 nt
Filed under: Leishmania donovani
Lineage: Eukaryota; Euglenozoa; Kinetoplastea; Trypanosomatida; Trypanosomatidae
Description: gene:LdHU3.09.0930(CDS-product:hypothetical_prote in_conserved)
Source: RNAcentral